UGAUCACACUGGGGUCCAAAUGAUCCCAGAGCGCAUUUAACUAGUAAUUUUUGGACAUCCUAGAAUGAAAACUUCAUAGAAAUAAAA
Molecule: long non-coding RNA, 87 nt
Organism: Trachymyrmex septentrionalis
Lineage: Eukaryota; Metazoa; Arthropoda; Insecta; Hymenoptera; Formicidae
Exons: 3
Source: RefSeq, a predicted model, not a curated record